RNAcentral lists this ribosomal RNA (344 nucleotides) under Acinetobacter baumannii. RNAcentral describes it as "bacterial SSU rRNA". It matches the Rfam family "Bacterial small subunit ribosomal RNA", at positions 1 to 345 of the family's 1533-position model. Lineage: Bacteria; Pseudomonadati; Pseudomonadota; Gammaproteobacteria; Moraxellales; Moraxellaceae. The record is from RNAcentral.
AUUGAAGAGUUUGAUCAUGGCUCAGAUUGAACGCUGGCGGCAGGCUUAACACAUGCAAGUCGAGCGGUAGCACAGAGAGCUUGCUCUCGGGUGACGAGCGGCGGACGGGUGAGUAAUGUCUGGGAAACUGCCUGAUGGAGGGGGAUAACUACUGGAAACGGUAGCUAAUACCGCAUAACGUCGCAAGACCAAAGUGGGGGACCUUCGGGCCUCAUGCCAUCAGAUGUGCCCAGAUGGGAUUAGCUAGUAGGUGGGGUAACGGCUCACCUAGGCGACGAUCCCUAGCUGGUCUGAGAGGAUGACCAGCCACACUGGAACUGAGACACGGUCCAGACUCCUACGGG